This is an RNA transcript of Rosa rugosa (rugosa rose), 5157 nucleotides long. It is a transcript of the gene named phragmoplastin DRP1A-like, with no coding region annotated. The record is from RefSeq and is a predicted model, not a curated record. NCBI's taxonomy places the organism in Eukaryota, Viridiplantae, Streptophyta, Magnoliopsida, Rosales, Rosaceae. The transcript has 10 exons.
AAGCUUUAGCUCACUAGGGCAAAAAAAUAACAAAAAACUCAAAGCUCCUCACUCACUCUCUCUCUCUCUCUCUCUCUUUAUCUCUCUCGACACAGACCGAAAACCAAAACCCAAAGCUCCUCAGUCUCUCGACAGCGUCUCCCCAGAACCAAAACCUACGGCCAAAGCCUCACUCUUUACCUCAGCUUUCCAGGGUUUCAAUUUUCAAAUCCCCACCAUACUACGUCUGGAUCCCCAAAUUUCAAAUCUUUCCCUCAGCUUUCUAGGGUUUCAAUUUUCAAAUCUCCACCACACUCCGUCUGGAUCCCCAAAUUUCAAAUCCUCGAUUUUUCAAUUUUCAAAUCCCCGAGAUCUCGCUCAAGGUUUCGGUCUGGGCUCGGAGAAAAGAAGUGCAGUAACAUAAACACGGAGGACAUCCAAGACUUCUUUGAGCAGUCAACCAAAGAUGCUUUCUCCGGCGGCAAUCUCUCUCCGAUCCAUUACCACCUUCAGCGAUUCGAUUAGGAUUUUAGGUUUCGCUUUUUUCUCACUAAUCGAUCCAAUUUCCGACGCGUCUGCCGCCUUACGAUUGCGAGAAGUGAGUUCGCGAACUCGAAAUCGAAAACAAAGCCUAUAUGGUCACUAUUUCGAUCUUUCGAGUUUCGAAAACCAAAUACAAAAUAAGCUAAAAUGGCAUUUCUGAGGUCUGUGGCUAGUGCCAUAGCUGCCUCUCUAUUAUCGGCUGCCCAUGCCUUUUCUUCCUCUUCUUCCUCUCAAUCUUUCCGAUUCCCUAAACUCCAAAGCUUUCCUUUCUCUCCUCCUCCUCUCCAAACCCAAAUCUUCUAUUCCUCGCUACAAGCCUUACCCACUCUCCCUCAGCUCUCCACAUGAACGCUCCCACAUCGAAAUGGAAGCCCUCCUUUCAGAAUGAUGCUGUAUUGCCAGAGCUACUGACAGAGUACAUGGUAGAUAUGAAAUGUGAAGGUUGUGUUAAGGCUUUCAAGAAAAUGCUACAAGGUGUUGAUGGUGUAUGAUUGCUUGUUGGGAGCUGAUGCUUUAUGUGAUUCUGGUGAUUUGCGUGAUUGCAAAGAAUAUGCUCUCGUUUGAUGAUUGUAUUAGCUGUGCUUUUAUCUCCACUUCCUAUGUUCAUCUGCACCUUUUAAGAUGCAGGUCAGUACUAUCUCACCCCUCGCCAGACUCAAAGCCAUCUACAGUGAAGCCCCACUUCCCCAAUCGCAGUGAAAGAGGAUUCCAAAUCUGCCGAAGCUAAAUUUAUGGUCUGAGGGUUGCUUGCAUUUUUGUUUUGCCCACCAGGAGUUUGUGAAAAUGCCUCAAAUCUUCUUCUCUGUGUUUCUGCUCUGUUCAUGCCGUAUUGAAGGAGCUGGCUCAGAAGUCUUUCAAUGCGACCUCGGAAUUAAAGCAGUAUCCCACUUUAAGAGUGGAAGUUGGGAAUGCAAGAUUUGAAUCGCUGGAUAGGAUGAAAGAAGAGAGCAAGGAAGCAACUAUGCAGCUAGUUGAUAUGGAGUGUGGUUACCACCGUUGAAUUUUUCCGCAAGCUUCCUCAGGGUAUUGAAAAGGGGGGAAAUCCGACACACUCACUUUUCAACAGAUCGAUAUAACGAUUCCUACCUUCGGUGGGUUGGUAAGUAGCUAUAACUUGAAGUACAUGUUAAACCACCUCAAUCAUCUCCUUAAUCUCAUCACUCUAACAACUCUUUUAUACUUGUUUUAAAUUCUACUGAUAUUAGAACCUCCACUUAAAGAGAUACAAUUUCAAAAUGAAAUAUACUAGUUGCUGCCUCAAUCUAGUUCACUUCACAGCAAAUUUGAGUACAAAUGAUAUGUAUAAUAGUAUUGUUAAGGAGUUUUAUGUCAGCGGCUUCGUUCAUUUUCUGUCUUUGUCUCUUGAAACAAACAGGAAGCAAUGUGUUAAACUAUGUGAACAUGGUGUGCUCAAGUUUAAGGAUUUCUAUUCCAAAGUCUAUUGUCGACCGUCACUACACCAAUAACUUAAACACACAACACUUUUUGCACAACGAAAAAAAAAAAAGUGUUGUGUGAUGAAGAAAAGUGAAUCACACAACACGUUUACAAAACUUGCGUUGUAUAAGGUGGUUAAAAUUCUAAACUUUUUACCUAGUAGAUCAUUGCACAACAGUUAUAAGAAUAGUUCGUUGUGUGAAUGAAAAAAAAAUUAGCGGCAGAUUUCCCUCCUAGAUCAACCCCAAAUUUGGCUCCAAAUUGGUACUUCAUUGUACAACAGAAUAGUUAUAUCUGUUGUAUGAGUGAAGUUUGCAAAUUGUCACACAACAGUUUUUGUUUUUGUGUUGUAUGAUCAAGGAAAAUAUAUUAGAGGUUUCGAUGCAUCUCCAUAUGCCACUCAUUCCUUCACUCCCAAACUGAACUUUACUUACAAGUAGCGGGAACUUUCCUUUCUUGCUGCCACAACUCAAAUUUAAUGUGUGCAAAAUCAGACAACAUGUAUAUGGAAAACGUGGUCUGAUGCCUUAUACAUGCAUAUAUGCAUCAACUAAUGGCUUGUCUAGCCUGACUCUCUCUUUUCACAACUCCACAGCUAUCUGACCCCCGACUCUCUCCCCGACUCACUCCACAGCUACGCCCACUUUGAAGCCCUAAACUCUAAAUCCACCACCUCCGAAGCCUUGGCUUUCUGGUACCAAUCCCUGACUCUGAAGCCCUAAAUCUGAGAUAUGUACGCAAGACAGAAACAAGUCCUUCCAGCCAUUUCCCCCCCCUCCCCAGCCAUUUCCCCCCAACCAGUUUAAGAGGGGAGGCAAACUCAAAAUUUAAAAUUUGACAUUCAGACAACAAAAAUUAGAAAACCAUUGUGUGAGGGCUUCUCCAAAGACUUAAUAUUGUCCAAGUGAGAGCCCCAUAGCUUUAAACCACCGAAAAAAAAAAUACACUUUGACAAUUUCAGAGGCCGAAGAGCCUGCAGCCUGCCACUCUCUUCCCACGGUUCUCUUCAACAAACCCGACCCCGACAAACCAAAACAAAAACCAACUCUACCUCAGAUCCCUUCCCAUCCUCUCUCUCUCAAUCGCAUUCACUUUCCUUCAACAAUAAUGAGACUAGGGUUUCAUUGUUAGGCCUCCGAUGUCCCUUCCAGAUCCCCAUUCACUCUGCUGAAUUCGAAAUCUCCAAUUUUCUAGGGUUUAAAUUUUCAAUCUCCAGUACCAUUCACUCUCGAGCAUGGCUUCCACGAUUGGCUCUCCAAGCAGUUCGUCCUCGUUGAGGCCGCCAUCGUCAUCGUCACCAAUGGAUGCUGCUAUUGGCGGCAUCAUGGGUACUUUCAUACUUAAUCCCAAUUUACCCAAAUCGAAGAUAGGGUUCAAUCCUGGGCGGGUCGGCGACUAGGCGUUUCAGUCCCUUUUUUUUUUUUUUUUUUUUUAACUCUUCAUACUUAAUCCCAAUUUACCCAAAUCGAAGAUAGGGUUCUGGGUGUGAUGAAGGCCAUUUCUCCUCUCUCUCUCUAUGCGACAUGGCCGCACGGGCCAUCUAUUAUCAGCCUUUCUCCGACUCCGAGUCGCCGGUGACGCCGUGACAACGGUGACAUUGCUGAUUUGCUGCCUUGCUGUCAAAGGCGCCGGCUCUUCACUCUUGGUUUGCUCGCUUUCACUCCUCUUCAAGCUGUCAAGCAACAAAACAGAAGACUUUGGUUCAAUUUCUGGGUUCUUCCUUCAAGCUCAUCUGGAGUGGAAAUUGGGAUGCUACUGAGGAAGAGAAGCUGGAUUUCGAAGUAGUCCGGAAGAGGGGAGGUCUUAGGCAUUUGCAUUAUCAGUGAGAUGAGUAUAAACGAUGAGUCCCAAUUUAUAUCUACGGAGGAAAGAGAAGAUGCAACAGGAAAUGUACAAAGAGAUGAUUUGGCUUCUAGAAGAAAUCGGACGAAAGAAAAGAAAUUAUAUACAUAGGUCUAAACUGGUUCCAGUUGCUUUCAAAAAAGUUAUAAAAAAAAAAAAAAUGCUUAUGAGCUUACGGGUCUGCGGGUUUCAAUGGGUUUGAAAGGGGGAAAAAAAAUUAUAUUCAUGGGUCUUAAUGGGUUUCAAUGGGUAUGUGGAUGCAGCUCAGCAACUAUAGCACGAAAUUCAAAGAGAACUUGUCUUUGCAUCAUUCCUUAAAGCUUUGUGCAGAAUUCCUUAAAGCUUUUCUAUAACCAGUUACAAGCAUGAAGCAUGUAAGUAUUACCAGUUCAUUUUACUUGAGUGUUAAGUAUUAUCGUCACCUUAAGCUAUUUCUGCUAGCUUUUUAGGCCUUUGCUUGUUAGUUAAUCUCAUCUGUUCUGUUAACAGAUGUCUUUGGACUGGGCAAUAUAUGUUUGUCUUUGGACUGGGCAAUAUAAGGACUAAUCUGCUGUCACUUUUGUACAAUGAAAAUUAGAAUUUCAUUGCAGUUCUUAAUUCUUUUCAGAUAAUUCAAGUAAUUCAUUCUGUGAGCUGUUUACUUGCAGGAACUUAAAAUGGGAAAGUCUGCAUAUUUGGAGAUGAGUUUUUGUAGUUUCACUUUUAAGAAACUUUUAGUUGUGCCUUUGGGAAAAAAAUUGAAAUCGGCAGACUUCUAUUAUCUCUCUGCCACUUUUUUUGGCCUGAUAUCACCUGGCCAUUAUGAGAAUGUAUUUAUGGUAGGAAUUGUCUGUUUGAAUUUAACUAAUUACCCAGCUUUCUCGCUGCUGCUUAUAUGACUAGUGCUUCUGUUAGAGGUAGAAAGCAUGACAUAGAGACUGAUGUUUUACAAUUUGUUUUUGCUUUUCUGUUACAUUGGAGACUAUGAUGCUUUACAAUUUUUAUCUUUUCUAUCUACAUAAUUUUUUUGUUUUUCUUUUUUUCAUAUGUGGUGGCAAGGUAUGGAACACUUACCCAGAUGAGCAAAACCGCCUCAAAGCUCAAGUCUUUAACAUCUCAAGUCCUCCAUUUUCAAAAAGCAAGCUUCUUUACUGCAACAUUUGCAGAUUGUGAAGAAGAACCACAAUACCCAAACAGACCCAAGUAGAUGGUACAUUUCCAUGCACCAUAUAUGUGCCAUGUUUUGGAACAAUAUAAAUGUGUAUCAACUUUUGAUGUCCCAAGCACAAGAAUGCUUUUCUUGUUUAAAUGUUGGCUUGGAUGAUUGGGAAAUGCACCAUUUUUGCUUUUGAAGUUUAGUAUUGGUUAGAUUACUCA